Molecule: ribosomal RNA, 250 nt
Filed under: uncultured bacterium
Lineage: Bacteria
Description: partial 16S ribosomal RNA
Rfam family: Bacterial small subunit ribosomal RNA
Source: RNAcentral
UACGUAGGGUGCGAGCGUUGUCCGGAAUUACUGGGCGUAAAGAGCUCGUAGGCGGUUUGUCGCGUCGUCUGUGAAAUUCUGCAACUCAAUUGCAGGCGUGCAGGCGAUACGGGCAGACUUGAGUACUACAGGGGAGACUGGAAUUCCUGGUGUAGCGGUGAAAUGCGCAGAUAUCAGGAGGAACACCGGUGGCGAAGGCGGGUCUCUGGGUAGUAACUGACGCUGAGGAGCGAAAGCGUGGGUAGCGAAC